CCGAUGGUGGAAGCCAUGGUUGCUUUGGUUAUUUUGGAUCAACUGAUGGUGCAGUAUGCACAAUGCCAGCUGCUACCCAUCAACCCAUGCCUCCAAGAACCUAUGGAGGCACCAAAGCUUGAGGUUUGGUUUACCUGAAACAUUGUCCAAUUGUUACUACUUGAAGGUUUCAAAUUUUCUUCAGGCAAUAUGUGGUUGUAAUUUCACUAUUAUGUCUCAGCUUUCGGAGCUUUUCAGAGUGAUAUUUUUAUCUCAUUUUUUUUUCGAAGUCAUGAAAACUUUGCAAGAUUAUGUGAAGUAAAUUUUUAUGCUUCUAUUUAGGUUCUUCUAUGAAUCAAAUAUGUACUUGCAAAAUGGUCUUGCUUGUACAUCUUGAUCAUUAACUCUGAGCUUUCUGCAGAUUGUGGAGAAACUUCUAAUUGCAGCUGCUGCAGAUGCUGAUGUUAGUGUUCGUCAGUCAGUCUUUCUAUCUCUGCAUGGAAAUGGAGGUUUCGAUGAAUUUUUGGCACAGGUUGAUAGUUUGAGUGCUAUCUUUGUUGCUCUUAAUGAUGAGGAUUUUGAUGUUCGAGAGUUUGCUAUAUCAGUUGCUAGCAGAUGGUCUGAAAAGAAUCCAGCAUAUGUUCUACCUGCACUUCGUCGCCAUCUCAUAUAAUUGUUGAUGCAUCUUGAGCAAAAGUAAUCUGAAAGAUAUCUACUUGUCAAUAAUAUUAUUGAUUUAUGGGGAAAUGAAUGCCCUUUUAUUUGUUUCACAUCAUUAUCUUUGAAAUAUUCAGAUCACAACUUUUCUCUUGGUAUUUAAGCAGUGCAGAUAACAAAUGCAGAGAAGAAAGUGAUAAACUCUUGGGCUGCCUAAUUCGCAACCUAAUGUUGCACUAGACAUAAGCGAAAAUCAAAAGCAGCCUUCAUAUAAGAUGGGUAACUAUGAUGCAAUGAUUAUGUAGAAGCUUGCUGCCAUGCGGCAGUUGGAACGUGAGCUUUGAGGCCAUCUUUGCCAUUGAUUACCAGGGAAUUAUGUUAUUCUUAGUGAAGAAGUUCUUGCGGGUCUGUAUUGAUUUAGUUUAAUGGCUUCAUUAAGGUUGAGUUUAAAUGUUGUUAGUGGUUAUCUUCCUUUGGCAGGAAUGUUUGGAGGAUCUAGCAGGUAAAGAUGCCUAAGAGAAAUCUGAUGCUGCUAUAGAAACCCUUUUACAAGAGCUUCUAGAUGAAAGAAAUGUCAAUAAAAGACCGGAUGAUUCAAAACAGAUACAGGAAAAGUCAAAGAAAAAAAAAGAAGAGAGAUUAUAGAAGAGAUAAGAAUAUAAAUAUUUGUGGAACCUAAUGUUGUGUAACAGUUUGAUUGAGUUUGUUUUAAAAACUUUAGGUAGACUGUUGUUAACUAUUUU
Molecule: long non-coding RNA, 1379 nt
Organism: Magnolia sinica
Lineage: Eukaryota; Viridiplantae; Streptophyta; Magnoliopsida; Magnoliales; Magnoliaceae
Exons: 3
Source: RefSeq, a predicted model, not a curated record